AGCCCGCCCCGACUUGAGUGGAGCUCUUUUUCUUUUUGAGAAAAAAAGAAAAAAGCGGGAACGGAAGGCGGAUAAAGGC
RNAcentral lists this unclassified non-coding RNA (79 nucleotides) under Epilithonimonas zeae. RNAcentral describes it as "Chryseobacterium zeae Flavo-1 RNA". The record is from RNAcentral. Lineage: Bacteria; Pseudomonadati; Bacteroidota; Flavobacteriia; Flavobacteriales; Weeksellaceae.